This 405-nucleotide unclassified non-coding RNA is filed under the name soil metagenome. RNAcentral's name for it is "partial contains 5.8S ribosomal RNA, internal transcribed spacer 2, and large subunit ribosomal RNA". The stretch from base 1 to 121 matches the Rfam family "5.8S ribosomal RNA", at positions 35 to 154 of the family's 154-position model. The record is from RNAcentral.
GAUGAAGAACGUAGCGAAAUGCGAUAGGUAGUGUGAAUUGCAGAUGUAACGUGAAUCAUCGAAUCUUUGAACGCAAAUUGCACUCUCUGGUAUUCCGGGGAGUAUGCCUGUUUGAGGGUCGCCAAAUCAACAUCGAAAUUCAUUUGCUUUUGUAAAUGUUUAUCGGAUUUGAGCCGUCUUUUAUUUUUUUAAUUAAAGUGGCUUAAAAUGUAUUUUUUUGGUAUCGAAAAACGUUAUUUUACGAUCAAAUUGAUUAAAAAAACAAACGUUUCGAAUGCCGUCUUUUAAUGUAAUACGCUUGACUGUGGUGUUAAUCAUAGUUUCAUUCGUAUACGAUUUUUUAAUUUUUGACCUCAAAUCAGGUAAGAACACCCGCUGAACUUAAGCAUAUCAAUAAGCGGAGGA